CUGGACCUUGCAGCGAGUAGCAUGCCCGGAGAUUUUAGCCAGUGGAUAAUGAAGCAUUACGACCCGGAGAUUUCGCAGAUAGUCAUUCCAGAAAGGGGGAAGAUUCCUGUAGAUGUCGCAAGUGUCCGUAGGAUAUGGGGUUUGCCCAACAGGGGCAGGAAGGUGUGCUUCGAGAAUCGGCCUGAAAUCACAAAGGCAAUGUACAGUAUUUACAACAUCACAUCCAAGAACUCCCCAACCCUCACUGAAUGGUGCAAGAUGAUCGUUGACAUGGAAGGAUCUCAUGAUGAUGACUUUGUCCGCGCUUGGCUAGCUCUUGUUUUUUCAUGCUUCCUUGCCCCUUCAACUAGUUUGAGUAUUUCCCCAAAGAGCUUCCCAGCGGUCAUGGAUGUCAAUGGAAUAACGAGAACCAAUAUAUGA
This 420-nucleotide ribosomal RNA is filed under the name Triticum aestivum (bread wheat). RNAcentral's name for it is "partial small subunit ribosomal RNA". The record is from RNAcentral. Lineage: Eukaryota; Viridiplantae; Streptophyta; Magnoliopsida; Poales; Poaceae.